Molecule: unclassified non-coding RNA, 305 nt
Filed under: plant metagenome
Description: partial contains 5.8S ribosomal RNA, internal transcribed spacer 2, and large subunit ribosomal RNA
Rfam family: 5.8S ribosomal RNA (bases 1-105)
Source: RNAcentral
GAAAUGCGAUAAGUAGUGUGAAUUGCAGAAUUCAGUGAAUCAUCGAAUCUUUGAACGCACACUGCGCCCUUUGGUAUUCCUUAGGGCAUGCCUGUUCGAGCGUCAUCUAAACCUUCAAGCCCUGCUUGGUGUUGGGUGCCUGUCCCGCCUCCGCGCGCGGACUCACCUCAAAUCCAUUGGCGGCCCCCGCGUCGGCCACGAGCGCAGCAGAAACGCGAACUCGUGAGCCCGUCCGGGCGGCUCCCAGAAGCUACACCCACCCAGUUUGACCUCGGAUCAGGUAGGGAUACCCGCUGAACUUAAGC